UUUAGUUUAUAUGAGUUUUGAAUUUGGUGUUUGUAUAGAAUGACUGUUAAAGUGAAUGUAGUAGAAACUUGUUGGCUUCUGAUGAAAUUAGUAUGUGUUUUAAUGCUAAAUCCCUGCUUGAAAUACCAAGCAUAGGUAUAUGUUAUCUUCAUGUAGUUUGUUCUUUGAAACUAGGAAUUAUCUGUAGCUUCACCCAUGGUUGUUAAAUGGUUGUAGUGUCUUGAUUAAUUUGCACGCAUAAAAAUUUGGGGUGUUAGUUUAAAAAUUAGCUGCACAAUAGCAUUGGGGCUGAUGUGAAGAUUGUGUAGAUUUCUGAAUCGAAAAAUUCUAAUUCCUUUAGUUCAGUAGUAAUUAGAUAUAAUCGGUGGUUAUGUUGUUGUUGCGUAAAUUUCUAUUUUAGUUAAAAAGUUAAUUGAAGCAUGAUAAUGAUAAUUAAU
RNAcentral lists this long non-coding RNA (437 nucleotides) under Nicotiana benthamiana. RNAcentral's name for it is "long non-coding RNA (NBEN_LNC013992)". Lineage: Eukaryota; Viridiplantae; Streptophyta; Magnoliopsida; Solanales; Solanaceae. The record is from RNAcentral.